Long non-coding RNA from Brassica rapa (field mustard), 3778 nucleotides. RefSeq lists it as uncharacterized. Lineage: Eukaryota; Viridiplantae; Streptophyta; Magnoliopsida; Brassicales; Brassicaceae. The record is from RefSeq and is a predicted model, not a curated record.
AAGGAUACUUCUUCGUAAAAACCUCGUAUAGGUUAUUUUUACGAAAAUUACGUCUCUUCUUUUACUAACUCUUUCGGAAAUACGAUCUACGAGGAUUUUCGGGUGGUAAUUCCGUCGUAACCGUUUUUGACCCCAACAGAUACUAGACUGCCCCUCCACAGACACAAAUUGUUGGAGGGGCAGUCUUAAACUUGGGUAAUAUUUGACCCCAACAGAUACUAGACUGCCCCUCCACAAACCUUAAACUUGGGUAAUAUUUGUACGGUGGACGGUUCUUGGACCUCUACAAAUCAAUUCAAUGGAAUUGGAUGGGUUUGGAAAGAUAGCAUGGGGAAGAUCCAAAUUAUGGGGACAAAAAACUUAAGGAGGCGUGAGACAGCAUUACAUUCAGAACUGGAAGCACUAAGAUGGACUAUGGAAAGUAUGCUACAGCAUUCGACAUAUCAGAGAUUUGAGACAAAUUGCAAGGACCUGAUUCCAAUGAUAACGGACCCACAAGCUUGGCCAACCUUCUCAACUGAGCUGGAGGUCAUACAGAUUCUCCAGGUGUGUUUUCCAGACUUCAAGAUCAGUUAUUUUCCAAGGGCGUAAAAUGGAAUUUCUGACUCGCUAGCUAGGAAUGCUCAUUCUUUUCAUAGAUCUCUUUGUUUUAUUGGUUGUUUUAUUCCGGUCUGAUUACCCAGACCACCUCAAGUUUGGGUAAUAGAGUAGUCGUUUGUUGCCAAAAAAAUAAAAUAAACUAGACUUGGUCCUAUAUCUAUCUAUUUGUGUUUUGUUAUCAUCUUAGAUAGGAUUGGGAGACGGAGAGUAGAAUAGAAGUAAAGAGAAAGAAGAAGAAGAAUAAUACACACAUGCAAAACAAAUAAAUAUAUUCAUAGACCAAACUAUGACAAUACAAAAAAUAGUGUUCCUUCAAUGAAUGAAUUUUCAUAUUAUAUUAUUAUUGGAAUAGGAGUCGGCAAAGAAUACGAAAUCAACUAUAAAAAUCGUGUGGAAAGAAAAAGAAAAGAUAUGAACUUCAGUCGUAUAUAAAUAAGGAGGUUCCUCAAGUGUAAAGAAUCUAUAUAUAUAAAGAAGAGCUACUCUUUUUUUCUAUGCUGCCACAUCAUCAAAUUGACUUUCUUAUGCACGACACGUGUCUCGUCUUCCCACAAACGAUGCGUUUCAUUUUUAUGCAUUGAAUUAGCAUUGUUUGGGCUUUAUUUGUUGGGCUCCCUGAUUUAAUGAACCAGAACGGGAUUAACCCAUAUCAUCUUCCUCAUCUGCACACCAAAAUUUAGGGUUUAUCCAGUCUCUUCAAUCUCCAACAUCACGUGCGGACAGAAGAAGCAAGAGCUAGAAUCAUCGUAAUUCACCCUCUCAUUUGCACCGACUUCCCACUCCUCACAUGAUAUCUCAUUUAAUGCAUCCCCAUCUUUAUUCCUUUCAGUGAAUCUACAACUAUAAAUAUUUUACAAGAUAAUCGAGGGGCAGGGAAGUAGAUCUAAGAUUAACCUCAGCUGCAAGCUACUCAAGAACGGUGGGGGAGGUUAAACGAAAGACCAAGGAGGCAAGUUCCUAACCUCUGGUUGAACACGAGCAACACCAACCAGCUCCGGUACAUCGCAAAGGCCAGAUGUCCAAUUCCAACCCUAGAUCCGCCACCAUCUGCCUUCGGAGUUGACUUCGGAGUUGUCCCCGCGGCCAAAGACGUUGACUUUGUAGAAAAAUCGACACCAAACUCUAAUCGCUGACGUCUGCUACAUGACCAUCGUCUCUUCAAAAGUCUGAGAGACCGCCUCCUCCCUUUCAUCUAGGCGGUGAAGAUCCGCGUCCGGGCCGGAGGAGAAACACACGAAGGGGAACUGCCAUCCCAGUCCAUAAAUCCUCCGUCACCAAACACGAAAAUUCAACCGUCGGGACAGACCACUAGCCUCCGAUGAAUGACUAUGCAGUUUCUGUUCGCGUCCCCGUCGUCCUCAUUACAGGGAGAGCAGAGCAUACUCCUGACGAGCCACCAGGAGCUAAGCCAUCGUAGGGGUCUUCUUCCCCUUCACAGAACCCGUCCGAUUCACCAAGACGGGAAGAGAAGAGCUACCAGGUUACUAUCAAUACUGCUCCGUCUUGAUGCUCAGAGACCAGAGGGUGAUCCACAACGACCACCGACGAGACUGCCGGCGACGUCUGUGUCUUUACCCUAGGCGAAAGCGAUGUUGAUUUAGAGAGAAAACUAGAGUCGCGUGUGAGAUAUACUCGCGCCACUCAAAGGCCGAACGUUUUUAUGAGAGAUUUUGUAAUGUUACCCGUAAUCGUAGCCGUUGAUUCAACUCCCAUGUUGAAAAAUCUUUAAUUAAUUAAUUAAUCUAAAGUUUGAACAAAGAAUGAUAAUCAUCAUUAAGGUUUGUAUUAUUUUCUUUUUUCUGCAUUUUAAUAUAAAAGCCUUUUACAAAAAAGAAAACCCAAAGCAGACUUCUUUCCUUCAAAUGGCUAAUUCGGUGGCGAACUGAUGCAUUUGAUGAUGUGUGGAUCAAAACAAGUAACAAUCAGUGAAGAUGACAACAAAUCGAUGAAUCAAGAAUCAUAGAGACACAAACCUGAAUGAUUGGGAACUCUAACACCCAUUGCUGCUUGAGAACGAAGAGCACGGCGUAAAGCAACCCAGUCACAAACCCUCUAAUCUCUAUUCUCUCAAUCACUCCAGUUGACAAGAAGAACCCAAUCAUUUUUACACAAAUGUAAAAGAUGGAGUAAAUAUCAUAUAUAAUAAUGAAAGAUAGUUUAAAGAAGUAAUUAAUUUUUGGUAAGUUUGCUAUCAUCUGUGAAUAUUGGUAUCAUGUGUUAAACUUUAUGGAGGAGCAUACCGGCAGUGUGGUGGCUCACUCGCUCGACGUCGAGCUUAUUGUGCGCCUCCGUUCUGUACAGGUCAAGUUGGAUCCGGGGUCUCUCCGGUGUGCGUCUGCAGUGGUGAAGGCUUCCGUGUGGUCGCAGUUACUGCUGUGUUGUUCGUGUGCGGUUUCUGGUUCUGUUCUCAAGGUGGGCCGUCUAUGACUUUGCCUUGGGUUCUUCCGGUGAUUGCUCCAGCUUCUUCUCUCUCAGUCGACGCCGCUCAUGUUGUCGUAUGUGUCGUUGCGUUGUGUUACGAUGUGGUCUCUUUCUCUCCGGCUUGUCGGUCUACUCUCCGGUUCUCCCCUGUGGUGUAGGUUUGAUGAGGCAUUUUGGAGCUAGCUCCGGUUCUCGGAGCUAGGGCGAGGCGGUUUGCUCGGAUCUCCCUUGGGUCAUUGGAGUGAAGACUCACCGCGGGAGGCUCGUGUGAAGAUUGGUCAUCCCAGCACCUCUUUUGUAACCGUUGGUUCGAUUUGGUGGGCUGAUCUUCGGUCUGUUUGUAGGUUAGGAAGAUCGACAGCAAGAUGUGGCUCUCACCACUCCCGCUUUCUGCUGUGACUCGCAUUUAGUUCCGAAGUCGAGUACAAUAAGUGUGACCUCGUUGAUUUCUGGACUGGCCUGACGGCGCUCUAAGGGUUUGCUAGGGCGGGUUGUGGACUGAGGCUCUAGGAGCUCGGGUUUUGUCUUCCGGUGGUUGUUCGAGGCUCGGGUUGCAGCGAUUAGGAUUGCAAAGCUGCGCGGGAUUGGAGUCAAUCAUUUGGAGUAGCGCUGCGGGCAAGCCAAUUUCUACCAAAGCGUGGUCUCAUGUAUUAUCAAAGACUUCAAAAUCUUGUGGCAAUGCUUUCCGGUCUAGUUUCUGCUCUUCCUUAACUAGGAAACCUUUUGUUUAAUUUUCGAUAUAGUCCAUUUAUCUCUC